AUCCUCUGAAAACCCUAGAGAUAGGGCUUCUCCUUCGGGAGCAGAGUGACAGGUGGUGCAUGGUUGUCGUCAGCUCGUGUCGUGAGAUGUUGGGUUAAGUCCCGCAACGAGCGCAACCCUUGAUCUUAGUUGCCAUCAUUAAGUUGGGCACUCUAAGGUGACUGCCGGUGACAAACCGGAGGAAGGUGGGGAUGACGUCAAAUCAUCAUGCCCCUUAUGACCUGGGCUACACACGUGCUACAAUGGACGGUACAAAGAGCUGCAAGACCGCGAGGUGGAGCUAAUCUCAUAAAACCGUUCUCAGUUCGGAUUGUAGGCUGCAACUCGCCUACAUGAAGCUGGAAUCGCUAGUAAUCGCGGAUCAGCAUGCCGCGGUGAAUACGUUCCCGGGCCUUGUACACACCGCCCGUCACACCACGAGAGUUUGUAACACCCGAAGUCGGUGGGGUAACCUUUAUGGAGCCAGCCGCCUAAGGUGGGACAGAUGAUUGGGGUGAAGUCGUAACAAGGUAGCCGUAUCGGAAGGUGCGGCUGGAUCACCUCCUUUCUAUGGA
Molecule: ribosomal RNA, 554 nt
Filed under: Bacillus cereus
Lineage: Bacteria; Bacillati; Bacillota; Bacilli; Caryophanales; Bacillaceae
Description: bacterial SSU rRNA
Rfam family: Bacterial small subunit ribosomal RNA
Source: RNAcentral